GACGAACGCUGGCGGCGUGCUUAACACAUGCAAGUCGAACGAUGAACCUCGAAAUGAUUUCUUCGGAAAGAUUUUUGAGAGGAUUAGUGGCGAACGGGUGAGUAACGCGUGAGCAACCUGCCUUAGACAAGGGGAUAGCCUCGGGAAACCGUGAUUAAUACCCUAUGAGACUCCACUUACGAGUGUAAGAGAAGUUAAAGCUAUUGCGGUCUAAGAUGGGCUCGCGUCUGAUUAGCUAGUUGGUGAGAUAAAAGCCCACCAAGGCGACGAUCAGUAACCGGCUGGAGAGAGUGAACGGUCACAUUGGAACUGAGACACGGUCCAAACUCCUACGGGAAGCAGCAGUGGGGAAUAUUGCACAAUGGGGGCAACCCUGAUGCAGCGACGCCGCGUGAGCGAUGAAGGAAUUCGUUUCGUAAAGCUCUGUCCUUGGAGAAGAUAAUGACGGUAACCAAGGAGGAAGCACCGGCUAAAUACGUG
This 480-nucleotide ribosomal RNA is filed under the name uncultured bacterium. RNAcentral's name for it is "partial 16S ribosomal RNA". It matches the Rfam family "Bacterial small subunit ribosomal RNA", at positions 28 to 507 of the family's 1533-position model. The record is from RNAcentral.